UGGGGAAUAUUGCACAAUGGGCGAAAGCCUGAUGCAGCGACGCCGCGUGAGGGAUGACGGCCUUCGGGUUGUAAACCUCUUUCAGCAGGGACGAAGCGCAAGUGACGGUACCUGCAGAAGAAGCACCGGCUAACUACGUGCCAGCAGCCGCGGUAAUACGUAGGGUGGAAGCGUUGUCCGGAAUUACUGGGCGUAAAGAGUUCGUAGGCGGUUUGUCGCGUCGUUUGUGAAAACCAGCAGCUCAACUGCUGGCUUGCAGGCGAUACGGGCAGACUUGAGUACUGCAGGGGAGACUGGAAUUCCUGGUGUAGCGGUGAAAUGCGCAGAUAUCAGGAGGAACACCGGUGGCGAAGGCGGGUCUCUGGGCAGUAACUGACGCUGAGGAACGAAAGCGUGGGUAGCGAACAGG
Molecule: ribosomal RNA, 409 nt
Filed under: bacterium
Lineage: Bacteria
Description: partial 16S ribosomal RNA
Rfam family: Bacterial small subunit ribosomal RNA
Source: RNAcentral